AGGACGAACGCUGGCGGCGUGCUUAACACAUGCAAGUCGAACGGAAAGGCCCUUCGGGGUACUCGAGUGGCGAACGGGUGAGUAACACGUGGGUGAUCUGCCCUGCACUUCGGGAUAAGCCUGGGAAACUGGGUCUAAUACCGGAUAUGACCAUGGGAUGCAUGUCUUGUGGUGGAAAGCUUUUGCGGUGUGGGAUGGGCCCGCGGCCUAUCAGCUUGUUGGUGGGGUGAUGGCCUACCAAGGCGACGACGGGUAGCCGGCCUGAGAGGGUGUCCGGCCACACUGGGACUGAGAUACGGCCCAGACUCCUACGGGAGGCAGCAGUGGGGGAAUAUUGCACAAUGGGCGCAAGCCUGAUGCAGCGACGCCGCGUGGGGAUGACGGCCUCGGUUGUAACCCUUUCAGUAGGACGAAGCGCAAGUGACGGUACCUACAGAAGAAGGACCGGCCAACUACGUGCCAGCAGCCGC
Molecule: ribosomal RNA, 470 nt
Filed under: uncultured bacterium
Lineage: Bacteria
Description: SSU rRNA
Rfam family: Bacterial small subunit ribosomal RNA
Source: RNAcentral